GUGAGGAAUAUUGGUCAAUGGGCGCAAGCCUGAACCAGCCAUGCCGCGUGCAGGAAGACGGUCCUAUGGAUUGUAAACUGCUUUUAUUUGGGAAUAAACUCCGGUACGUGUACCGGCCUGAAGGUACCAAAUGAAUAAGCACCGGCUAACUCCGUGCCAGCAGCCGCGGUAAUACGGAGGGUGCAAGCGUUAUCCGGAAUCAUUGGGUUUAAAGGGUCCGCAGGCGGUCUUAUAAGUCAGUGGUGAAAGCCUACAGCUCAACUGUAGAACUGCCAUUGAUACUGUAGGAAUUGAAUUCGAUCGAAGUGGGCGGAAUGUGACAUGUAGCGGUGAAAUGCUUAGAUAUGUCACAGAACACCGAUAGCGAAGGCAGCUCACUAGGUCUGGAUUGACGCUCAGGGACGAAAGCGUGGGGAGCAAACAGGAUUAGAAACCCGGGUAGUCC
Molecule: ribosomal RNA, 445 nt
Filed under: uncultured bacterium
Lineage: Bacteria
Description: bacterial SSU rRNA
Rfam family: Bacterial small subunit ribosomal RNA
Source: RNAcentral